This 1512-nucleotide long non-coding RNA is filed under the name Helianthus annuus (common sunflower). Its description in RNAcentral is "hypothetical non coding rna". Lineage: Eukaryota; Viridiplantae; Streptophyta; Magnoliopsida; Asterales; Asteraceae. The record is from RNAcentral.
ACAGAAGGAGGAGGGCGACCCCCACUCUCAAAACCCUAGCAACUCACUAAUCUCACAAAUUGAAGGCUCAAACUAAGUUAAAAUCGAAAAUCGAGCAUAGAUUAUUGAUCCCCAUUGCAAGGGGGUUGUAAGGAGGUGUACCUUAUAUGCUUGCGAAGGUAGGAACUUGGAAAUGAACGGGUCAAAUGGAUACAAGUUCAAGUAUGAAGCUCGCAAGGAUGCAAGGUAAGUAUAACUUACACUAGUCAUAUAUUUUAGAAUGUUCUUUUGUCGUAUUGACUACGAAUAAGACAAAUGGUAAUUUAGUCACACGUUGACAAUAAUCGUUAGUUUUAAAAGACGCUUCCCGCGUAAGACAUAAAGAGCCGAAAGUGGUAAUAAACAGUUUAUAAAUAAAAUGAGCAUACGGUGUUAAAAGGAGCGAGUCAUGUAGAUGAGAUGAUAAUAAAUAUUAUCUCGCAAAGAUAAACGGUCAAUUCAGCCAAACGGGUCAAAAGGUGUAGACAUCACCUUUUGACAAUAUCGACUAAUGAUUCUGGUGUCGAGUUAUAUGUUUACAGGAGUAGAUAUCCAAUGGAUACUCGCAUCGCUCUUAAUUAGCAAUUAUAAAGCAAGGUAUUAAACCAGGUUAGUAAGUUGAUCCGAGCCAGGUAUGUAUAAUAGAUUAACUCAUCAUGUAGAACUUGAAGUUCUAUGAAAGUUAGGCAAAAUAAAAAAAAGGGCAUUCGGUUACCUUAAUAGGUAAACCGAAGGAUUUAAAUUAUAGACAGAAUGUUUUGAAAACAAGAUUUGGUUAAAAAUGAGAAAUUAGAAUCAAACAACAGGUUUGUUUGAUAAAAUCACGAACGGGUCAAAUUUGGUAAAAAGGGGUAAUAAGCCGAAGACUUAAAAGUCUUAAAUUUUGUUAAUCCAGAUGUUGGGUCUUGACUCCAUUUGAUGGAGGUUCAAUUUACAAUCACGUAGGAAGAAACGGUAGGUCAAACGAACAAGCGGAUUAAAAGUUAUGAAGGUUUCCGUUUUGAAAUCGGCAAACUUGGAAAAUCUUGCAGAGGCCACCGUAAGUUACGGUAGCUACCGUAACUUACGGUAGCCUUAAAAAUCUUUACGCCUUAAACCCACUGAGUUACGGUGGAAGAAUCAACAUUCAGGGGCUACCGUAAAUUACGGUAGCCACCGUAAUUUACGGUAGACCCUGUAACAAAAUUUAUUUUAAUCAGUUUCGUUUCCCAGAACUCGUUAGACACGUUUAUAACCCCGUAAGACUAAAGCAUUUCUUGUUUAUGAAAUGUAGGUACAUUUUGGAUGCCGGAAGACGAUCAAGCUCAUUGGAGAACCGAACACGAUAAAGAUACAUGCUUCCGCACAGUGUCCCGUCAUAAAUUUUAAACGACGAAUUCAAUUACGUUAUGUCGAAUAACUUAUGAUUUGUAAAAGUUUUAAUAAACCCAUAUUUUUAUAGUAUUUGUAGUCUUAUCUACACAACUAAUUGUUGGUAAUUAUAUGUAAAACCGU